AGCUUUGCGCAGUGGCAGUAUGGUAGCCAAUGAGGUUUAUCUGAGGCAUGAUUAUUGCUAAUUGAAAAUUUUUCCCAAUACCCUGCCAUGACGACUUGCAAUAUAGUGAAAUAAUUUAUACAACUCGCCAUAGGUUG
This 137-nucleotide small nuclear RNA is filed under the name Microcebus murinus (gray mouse lemur). RNAcentral's name for it is "U4 spliceosomal RNA (ENSMICG00000044194.1)". The stretch from base 1 to 120 matches the Rfam family "U4 spliceosomal RNA". Rfam says of the family: U4 small nuclear RNA (U4 snRNA) is a component of the major U2-dependent spliceosome. The record is from Rfam by way of RNAcentral. Lineage: Eukaryota; Metazoa; Chordata; Mammalia; Primates; Cheirogaleidae.